UACGGAGGGUGCAAGCGUUAUCCGGAUUUACUGGGGUUAAAGGGUGCGUAGGCGGGCCUUUAAGUCAGUGGUGAAAUCUCCCCGCUCAACGGGGAAACUGCCAUUGAUACUAUUGGUCUUGAAUUUAGUUGAGGUGGGCGGAAUGUGUCGUGUAGCGGUGAAAUGCUUAGAUAUGACACAGAACACCGAUUGCGAAGGCAGCUCGCUAAACUAAUAUUGACGCUGAGGCACGAAAGCGUGGGGAUCAAACAGG
RNAcentral lists this ribosomal RNA (253 nucleotides) under uncultured bacterium. RNAcentral describes it as "partial 16S ribosomal RNA". It matches the Rfam family "Bacterial small subunit ribosomal RNA", at positions 524 to 776 of the family's 1533-position model. The record is from RNAcentral.